Molecule: ribosomal RNA, 306 nt
Filed under: Vibrio parahaemolyticus
Lineage: Bacteria; Pseudomonadati; Pseudomonadota; Gammaproteobacteria; Vibrionales; Vibrionaceae
Description: bacterial LSU rRNA
Rfam family: Bacterial large subunit ribosomal RNA
Source: RNAcentral
GGCCGAAAGGCGUAGUCGAUGGGAAACGGGUUAAUAUUCCCGUACUUCUUACAAUUGCGAUGGGGGGACGGAGAAGGCUAGGUGGGCCUGGCGACGGUUGUCCAGGUUCAAGUGCGUAGGCUUGAGAGUUAGGUAAAUCCGGCUCUUUUUAAGGCUGAGACACGACGUCGAGCCACUACGGUGGUGAAGUCAUUGAUGCCAUGCUUCCAGGAAAAGCCUCUAAGCUUCAGAUUGUAAGGAAUCGUACCCCAAACCGACACAGGUGGUCGGGUAGAGAAUACCAAGGCGCUUGAGAGAACUCGGGUG